RNAcentral lists this unclassified non-coding RNA (376 nucleotides) under plant metagenome. RNAcentral's name for it is "partial contains 5.8S ribosomal RNA, internal transcribed spacer 2, and large subunit ribosomal RNA". The stretch from base 1 to 103 matches the Rfam family "5.8S ribosomal RNA", at positions 52 to 154 of the family's 154-position model. The record is from RNAcentral.
AAUGCGCUAAGUAAUGUGAAUUGCAGAAUUCAAUGAAUCAUCGAAUCUUUGAACGCACCUUGCGCUCCUUGGUAUUCCUUGGAGCAUGCCUGUUUGAGUAUCAUGAAAUCUUCAAAGUAAAUCUUUUGUUAACUCAAUUGGUUUCUACUUUGGUAUUGGAGGUCUUUGCAGCUUCACACCUGCUCCUCUUUGUUCAUUAGCUGGAUCUCAGUGUUAUGCUUGGUUCCACUCGGCGUGAUAAGUUAUCUAUCGCUGAGGACACUGUAAAAGGUGGCCAAGGUAAAUGCAGAUGAACCGCUUCUAAUAGUCCAUUGACUUGGACAAUACUUUUAUGAUCUGAUCUCAAAUCAGGUAGGACUACCCGCUGAACUUAAGC